RNAcentral lists this long non-coding RNA (1955 nucleotides) under Mus musculus (house mouse). Its description in RNAcentral is "RIKEN cDNA E130006D01 gene". The record is from RNAcentral. Lineage: Eukaryota; Metazoa; Chordata; Mammalia; Rodentia; Muridae.
CCAGAAACGAAAUGUCUCCUUGAAAGGGAAGGGUGGUCCUGGGAGGGGACAUUAGGACUUAGCACGAGAGCCACCGGGCUCUGGGCUGCGGAGGAGGUUGGAGGUGACCUUCCAGAAGGAACGUGGGACAAGGGAGCAAGUGAGGACCUGGUGGGUAGUGGUUACUCUGUGAGAAGCCAGCAGCACCAACCAAAUAGAAGGUGGAGAAGUGGCCCCCAGCUUCCCAGUUUGGGUUUGGGCCAAGACAACUAAGAAAAGGGUCCACCGUCUUCACUCCAGGUCAGAUGACCCUGCAUUGUAUCAAGUAGAAAAAUGUCUAACCAAGACAGAGGAGAAUACGAACCCUCUCAGCUCAUAGACAGGUGAUGAUGUGGUUUCCAACUGACUUUCAAGCAAACAGAUUUCCAAGCGUGCUUGAAGAGGGCAGUAAAUGAGAAGGCACAAGCUGCUAAAGGAAGUGAUCUGCUCUGCUGUAUGCCCGCCAUGGUGUCUUGCCUUCUACCAAUUCAGAACAAUGGGGCUGCUCACUAUCGACUGAAGUGUACAGAACUGUACCAAGUAGACUUUUCUUCUUGACGAGUUGAUUGUCUCUGGUAUUUUGCUAUAGCAAUGUGAAGCUGACUCGUUCACCUCCUAGAUAUGAACAAAAUGGCAAGAAAGGAAAAAAGCCUGGAUCGAAGUUAGAAUCUUGCUCAGGACACACAACAGCAAGGGAUUUCUAAACCUACUCAUGCCUAAGUUUUAGCUAAUACCCUUCUCUUCACAGAGGCAAAACAAAAACAAAAAAAGAACAGGUAACCUGAUUUCUCUUUGUUUCAGACUCUUACUCUGAAGGAGGACGAUCAGAACGGCAUAGCUGCCUUCUUGGCCUGUCACAGAAUUAAAUGGCAAAGGGUUCCGAGGACUAUCUAGCAUAUACUGCUGUCACUACAGGGGCGUGGUCUGUAAGAGGGAUAACCCAGCCCCCUAAUAAGGCAAGCAUGUCAUUUUCUGUGACAGAUGCAAGAAGAGAGAGGGGUUUGCUGGAAAUCGUGGCUGACCACCUCAGAAGGACCCAGAAGACCCGAACUUUCUGGUUUUGCCUUUCACCUUGCUCUGAAACUUCUCCCAACACUGGAAGACAAGAAAGUUCCGCCCUACCUCCGCCCCACCUCCGCCCCCCGGACCAGGGAGAUUCUUCUCUUUGGGCAAGCAGGCUUGCUGGGCAAUCGUGAGCUGCUGAGUUCCCAUCCCCAUAGAAAGCUGGACAUGGACAUGCAUGCCUGUUUCUGCAGCAUGCUCAACUCCAGGAGCUCUCUGGUCUCCUAUAAAUAAAGGAUAACACAUUCGGCCUUCUUACCAUUUCAAAAUGCAAAAUACUGGAGCUUCCUCAAACCCACGGGCCACCUCAGCCCGAAAAGAUAUCUUCCCUGUUCUACUCCCUCCACUUCCUGUCUGAACAGGAAGUGACCCGUUCCUAGCUCCUAUGCCAUGUAGCCAAGGCUCUGGACCAAACAAAUCUUUGCCUCAGCAGAGGCUCCGGUAUACGAUUCCAUUCCGGUUUCACACCCAGUGACCGAGGACCACCUAGGAGCCAUGAGUGAUGUCAGAGGCUACCCUCACAGCAGGUGUCAACAGGAAGGAGACCCGGCCAGAAACUAGGCUGAGAUUCAACUGUUGAGACGCAGUGGCGCCUCUGCCUCCUGGCAUCCCUCACCGUGAAUGAGCUCAGACACAUCUGUUCCCAGCCACAGCGGGCUAAGACUCAAUUUCAACAAGGCAGUGGCUUGAUCCCCAUGACUCCUGUUCCUACCAUUGGGCUGGGCUGAGCUGGGCUGUUUAUGUCUUUGUGCCAGUGAGGCUGGCUGCUGGUGAGGUGGAGGUGCUCUUUACAGCUGCCUCCCAUGGGCCUCUUCUGCUAUCCUUCAAUUCUCCCACCCCAUACCCCCUGGAAAUAGAAAGUCUGACCAGAGCCA